AGGGGAUCUACAAGGUUGGACUUGAAGGGCACUUACCUAUAGGUUCACAUGGUGCCUCAUGAAGUUUCUGAAGUCGGUCAUGGUGCACUGAAAAGCAAAGGGUAUCUGCUGUCGCAUACCUAGACGACUUACCUCUUGCAAAUCCAAUUCAUGACGAGAUUUAUUUUUACAGUUUUGGGAAUUGUUGGGAUUCAUAGUGAACAGAGAGGAGUCGGUUCGAUCCCAGUUCCGAGUGAUUCUGUUCCUCUACUUCAGAAUAGAUUCCACCUCGAGCGGAUUACACCUUCCCACAUCAUUGAUAGCGACGAUUCGUAAGGAAAUUCGACGGGUACGGCGGAAAGGCACCAUAAUCCUUUGACUAUUUCCCAGGACUGCUUCACUACCGGGCCAGACAGUGGCUGAAAGCUCACUGCCUGAGAUCCAGACACACCUAUGAAAUUGGGAUCAGAAUAGCAAAGACUUCGAUAGUACUCAUUACUGCGGUAAAGGAGUCAAGCGUGACACCCAGAAGGGUUGUCCUUAAUCAGGAUCAUCCUCUGCUCAUUCCAUUUUAACUUGCCAUUCGGGCGGUUCCAAAAGGAGAACAUCAUCCAUUGAUAAUGCAGGAGCAUCUGGAGUUGGUAGAUUGGUGUCUUUCAGGGGAGACUGGUAUGUCAAGGGACUAUCGCAACUAACUAGAGACCUACUAUGGGACUCAUGGACACCAGGUAUUCACCAAAAUAACUUAUCCGCAUGGAACACCUGGAGUUCGCUGGUGUAUGGGAAGGGACUGCGAUCCCUUUAUUACCCCUAUCUCCACGAUGCUGGAUCUUUAUCAUACCUUUUCAC
This 828-nucleotide long non-coding RNA is filed under the name Pelobates cultripes (western spadefoot toad). Lineage: Eukaryota; Metazoa; Chordata; Amphibia; Anura; Pelobatidae. The record is from RNAcentral.